GCGGCUGGAUCCCCUCCUUUCUAAGGAGCUCCGACCUGGAAACAGGUCGGCAGUCCUAGGUCAAACCCACGAACCAAGUCGAGCACGCAGGACUUCGAGGCGUGCCCGAGACCUUUCGUAUGCUGUCCGGUUUUCAGCGACCGAGGCGCGAUUUGACAAGAUGGCGACGAAACGGACCCACGUUGGGCCUAUAGCUCAGCUGGUUAGAGCGCACGCCUGAUAAGCGUGAGGUCGCUAGUUCAAGUCUAGCUAGGCCCACUCGAAUCCAACCGUGGAGUGCGGUUGGACUGUUCGAAGGGGCUGUAGCUCAGCUGGGAGAGCGCGGGCUUUGCAAGCCUGAGGUCGUCGGUUCGAUCCCGAUCAGCUCCACUCGGCGAGGCAGCGCCUCGAGCCCGCAUCAAACGAUUUCGUCGUUCUUUGAAAAGUGAAGACGAGUAAGAUCUCAAGACUGUGCGUCUGAGGUUGACGCACCCUGGCGGGAGCCAGCGUGCGUGUUGCUAGGGGCUCGGAGGUCGAGCCCUAGCCUCGACCUAUUUUGUGUGGUCAAGCUACUAAGGGCUGACGGCGGAUGCCUAGGCGCGUAGAGGCGAUGAAGGACGUGGCUAGCUGCGAAAAGCUUCGGCGAGGUGCUAAGCGACCUUUGACCCGAAGAUGU
This 655-nucleotide unclassified non-coding RNA is filed under the name uncultured bacterium. Its description in RNAcentral is "partial contains 16S ribosomal RNA, 16S-23S ribosomal RNA intergenic spacer, and 23S ribosomal RNA". The stretch from base 542 to 655 matches the Rfam family "Bacterial large subunit ribosomal RNA", at positions 1 to 113 of the family's 2925-position model. The record is from RNAcentral.